AAUUAACAAGAACCAAAAAAAAAAAAAAAACUGUUUCACCAUAUAAUCUGCCAGUCAGCCCAUUCAACAGCUGUACUCUCCUCUACUCUAUAGCCCGCAAGCGAGAGAGUACGUACGCACGCACACUCAGGUUGCACUCAUACUGUGUAGUCUGGAGCUUUCCUUGCUGCAUUUGGUGCAAUCCAGCAACACCGUAACUGAUGACAGCGUGACGGGAACGCCAUUUGAAUAGUGUGAGGACAUGAACCAAGCUGAAGUAAUGUCUCUCCUGGCCAGUGAGUGUGAUGAAUGGGGACGAAUCUACCCACUUCUCAGCCGCUUGGCAGCAGUCGCUCAGGUCAUUCCAGUCCCCAGUGUCAACUGUGAGAGAGACUUUUCCACGAUGAACAGGGCAAGGGGCAGGACUGGAGAUGCUGAGAGGUCAAAUCAGACGUCUGGAACAGACUGUAAGGAGAACACCUUGCUGCCUGCCUGAGGGUCUCAAUAAAUGGGCCAAGCCCUGAAGAGUUCAAUUUUGGGAAAGCUGUGAAACCGUUUUUCACCAAGCCUACAAAAAUUAGGUGUCCAAAGGCAGGGUGCAGAGUGUGUCAGUAGUGUGUCAGUGUCAAGCUGCCUGAGUCUUAGUUAACUAUUGGUGCAGCAUGCACGUGCUAAGGUUAUGGACAGCAAAUGUACAAAGUGUCCUUUGUUCAUUGUUUUGUUUGAUAGUUUGAAGAUGGUUCACAUGAUCGAUGUUAAGUUUAAUCUUAAAGCUCUAAAUGAAUGAACAAAUGAAAGAACAACUGAAUGAAUGAAUGACUUUGUGUCACUGUUUUAUUUUUCAAGAUUAAAUUUGA
Long non-coding RNA from Mugil cephalus (flathead mullet), 836 nucleotides. RefSeq lists it as uncharacterized. The transcript has 3 exons. NCBI's taxonomy places the organism in Eukaryota, Metazoa, Chordata, Actinopteri, Mugiliformes, Mugilidae. The record is from RefSeq and is a predicted model, not a curated record.